This 479-nucleotide ribosomal RNA is filed under the name uncultured Streptococcus sp. RNAcentral describes it as "bacterial SSU rRNA". It matches the Rfam family "Bacterial small subunit ribosomal RNA", at positions 904 to 1382 of the family's 1533-position model. Lineage: Bacteria; Bacillati; Bacillota; Bacilli; Lactobacillales; Streptococcaceae. The record is from RNAcentral.
CUACAAUGAAUUGAGGGGCCCGCACAAGCGGUGGAGCAUGUGGUUUAAUUCGACGCAACGCGAAGAACCUUACCAGGGCUUGACAUCCCCUGACCGCGUAUGAAAGUACGUUUUCACCUCGGGUGACAGGGAGACAGGUGGUGCAUGGUUGUCGUCAGCUCGUGUCGUGAGAUGUUGGGUUAAGUCCCGCAACGAGCGCAACCCCUAUUGUUAGUUGCCAUCAUUCAGUUGGGCACUCUAGCGAGACUGCCGGUAAUAAACCGGAGGAAGUGGGGAUGACGUCAAAUCAUCAUGCCCCUUAUGACCUGGGCUACACACGUGCUACAAUGGUUGGUACAACGAGUUGCGAGUCGGUGACGGCGAGCUAAUCUCUUAAAGCCAAUCUCAGUUCGGAUUGUAGGCUGCAACUCGCCUACAUGAAGUCGGAACCGCUAGUAAUCGCGGAUCAGCACGCCGCGGUGAAUACGUUCCCGGGCCUU